AUGGUGGCGACAGCGGCGGCGGCGGCGGAUAUGCUGGCAGCGGCGGCCGAUGGAUCCAAGAGGAAGAUGUGCUUGUCGGGUAGUGGAUAUGCGACGGUGAUGGUGUGUGCUGGCGAUCAUCCCCGCCCCUAUUUUCGGUUCAAGAUAGAGCGAUGGUGGCGACGACUGCUCGAUGACUCACGAGGAGGUGGCAGCAAUUUUCUUGACAACAAGAUCAAGGCAGCAACAAGCAGUUCUGGUCAGAUAAAGGGAUUUCGACCCUGCUUGUUAUGCGAAACAUACCCUUUUCAUUUGACCUCGACCUAA
RNAcentral lists this ribosomal RNA (306 nucleotides) under Triticum aestivum (bread wheat). Its description in RNAcentral is "partial small subunit ribosomal RNA". Lineage: Eukaryota; Viridiplantae; Streptophyta; Magnoliopsida; Poales; Poaceae. The record is from RNAcentral.